GACGAACGCUGGCGGCGUGCCUAAUACAUGCAAGUCGAACGAGAGCGACCGGUGCUUGCACUGGUCAAUCUAGUGGCGAGCGGGUGAGUAACACGUGGGUAACCUGCCCAUCAGAGGGGGAUAACAUCCGGAAACGGAUGCUAAAACCGCAUAGGUCUUCGAACCGCAUGGUUUGAAGAGGAAAAGAGGCGCAAGCUUCUGCUGAUGGAUGGACCCGCGGUGCAUUAGCUAGUUGGUGAGGUAACGGCUCACCAAGGCCGUGAUGCAUAGCCGACCUGAGAGGGUGAUCGGCCACAUUGGGACUGAGACACGGCCCAAACUCCUACGGGAGGCAGCAGUAGGGAAUCGUCCGCAAUGGACGCAAGUCUGACGGAGCAACGCCGCGUGAGUGAAGAAGGUUUUCGGAUCGUAAAACUCUGUUGUUAGAGAAGAACAAGUGCUAGAGUAACUGUUAGCGCCUUGACGGUAUCUAACCAGAAAGCCACGGCUAACUACGUG
This 498-nucleotide ribosomal RNA is filed under the name uncultured bacterium. RNAcentral describes it as "partial 16S ribosomal RNA". It matches the Rfam family "Bacterial small subunit ribosomal RNA", at positions 28 to 507 of the family's 1533-position model. The record is from RNAcentral.